RNAcentral lists this ribosomal RNA (498 nucleotides) under uncultured bacterium. RNAcentral's name for it is "partial 16S ribosomal RNA". It matches the Rfam family "Bacterial small subunit ribosomal RNA", at positions 30 to 523 of the family's 1533-position model. The record is from RNAcentral.
AUUGAACGCUGGCGGCAUGCCUUACACAUGCAAGUCGGACGGUAACAGGUCUUCGGAUGCUGACGAGUGGCGAACGGGUGAGUAAUACAUCGGAACGUGCCUAGUAGAGGGGGAUAACUACUCGAAAGAGUGGCUAAUACCGCAUGAGAUCUACGGAUGAAAGCAGGGGAUCGCAAGACCUUGUGCUACUCGAGCGGCCGAUGGCAGAUUAGGUAGUUGGUGGGAUAAAAGCUUACCAAGCCGACGAUCUGUAGCUGGUCUGAGAGGACGAUCAGCCACACUGGGACUGAGACACGGCCCAGACUCCUACGGGAGGCAGCAGUGGGGAAUUUUGGACAAUGGGCGCAAGCCUGAUCCAGCAAUGCCGCGUGCAGGAUGAAGGCCUUCGGGUUGUAAACUGCUUUUGUACGGAACGAAAAGCCCCGGGUUAAUACCCUGGGGUCAUGACGGUACCGUAAGAAUAAGCACCGGCUAACUACGUGCCAGCAGCCGCCGUAA